Leopardus geoffroyi (Geoffroy's cat) is the source of this 4345-nucleotide long non-coding RNA. RefSeq lists it as uncharacterized. Lineage: Eukaryota; Metazoa; Chordata; Mammalia; Carnivora; Felidae. The transcript is spliced from 3 exons. The record is from RefSeq and is a predicted model, not a curated record.
ACCCAAGGAAAGGGGGCAGGGAAUGCUGGAAUGGAAAGGAAUUUCCCGGGAAUUUCUUGACCAUCCCUCCCGCCUCCGCGCGGCCCCGCCCGUCGCGACCGGGCAGACCCCUGCCCUACGAGAGAGAGCCCGUAUCUUGCCACUGAAUGGCACUCGGGAGCCUCAGAGCUUUCCCGCCUCGCCACCGGCUCCUUUCUGGCCCGACCUCGGUCUCAGGGGACAGCUCUGCCUAGGGGCUUCCCGGGCAGCGCCUACGUCCCCCAACUUUCUGGGAUCCUCUGUCCGUCCCCGCGGGCGGACGGGCCGGAUCUACCCUCGUAUACACCUGGGCAGCACCCUGAAAACUGGGACGGAGGGCCCUGAGUGGUUUACCCACUCCACGCCCCGCCCCCAACACACACACCUGACAAAUGGGGAGACCGAGGCUCAAAGAGUUGGGUUCGAAAAGGGAUUUAGCAGGUUUUCAGGACUCCACAGACUGACCUGUAACCUUAGGCCUGAUAAACAAAGCCUUAUUGUUAUUGGAGGAGGAAAGAGGGCGGGAUUGGCUAAACACCUCUCACUUCUUGGUGCCUGCCUGGGCUUCCUUCCCCAGGCCUAGUAAGGAGGGCCUAAACACACUGCCCCGGCUGUGACAGAUACUGGGAAGAGGCAGCCCUGACCUCCUGGUGGGUUCCUCUGAGGGAUCCCAGACCGAAGAACAGUAGGAGACCUCCGACAGGUCAUGGGCAUGGUGGGGCUUUUAUGUUGGUGCCCUGAGGAUUAGCUGAGCCAACUCAGGGACUCCAGCGUGUCACCCCAGAGGGGAGUGAAGGAGUUAGAAGAGUGCAUUGCCAGGUAGGGCCAUGAAUUAGUAUACGUGAAAGGCCACAGAGGGAAAAGGUGAAGUGCCUCCGACUCUCAGAACAGCUAGCUGAUGCUGCUGUAAGCCGCUAUCUGUUGCGCUGUCACUCCCUGUAUCAUUAGUCAACCUCACAUUUCUGCAAGUGUUACCGGUCAGCGGCCAGCACUGUGCCUGCCACCAGCCCCUGGCUGAGGAAGCACUGCCUCGGAGCCAGAGAGGGUAGAUUUAUAGACUAUUUUAUAACCAUUUCUGAACUAUGGCUCUAAACCUAACAUAGAGGGUAUAUCGUGCUGUAGCCAUCCAUUCACUCAAUAAAUAUUUGCUGAGCACCGUCUGUGUGUCAGGGGAUGUGCUAGAUGUUAUGUAUAUACAGAUGAAAAAGACACAAUUCCUUCCCCAUGCAGCCCAGCCGAGACAGAUACAGAAACAAAAAUAUACUGCAAGGAGACAGCUCUGACCACUGAGCCCAGCAGGGGAAGGGAGACUCCAGGUGGAACUUUUUGGAGUAGGUGAAAUUCAAGGGAGCCUUGAAAACAAGAGUCAGCCAGAUGAAGAGUGUGGGAGGUUAUUCCAGGCAGAAGGAGCGGUGUGAGUUAGUACAUGGGGGCAGGAAACUGCAGGGUAUAAAAGGAAUGCCUAACAUUUCACUGCGGCUAGACUAGAAAUCCAAGGCCAGGAGGGGCAAGAGAUGGGGCUGUGGAGAUGGGCAGCGGCCAGACCACGUAGGCCCGGUGCACCGUGUGAAGUGUGGAUCUGAGGGGAAUGAGGCUGCACAGAAGCUUUGAGAACCAGGUGCAAAGCAAUUGCAAUAAUCCGGGUAGGAAUGGCCCCUUAGUCCAUUCUGCUGUAACAGAAUCCCGUAGACUGGGUGGCUUCGACAAGAACGUUUAUUUCUCAGGGUUCUGGAGGCUGGGAAGUCCAAGGUCAGAUUCGGUGUGGUGAGAGCCCACAUCCUGGCUCCUAGACAGCCAUCUUCUGUGUCCUCAUGUGGUGGUAGGAGCUCUGCCCUCAUGACACCCACUCAUCCUCCUAAUACCGUCGCUCUGGGUGGGGGGGGCAGGAUUUCAACAUGUGAAUUUGGGUGGGACAUGAACUUCAGUCUCUUGCAAAUGGAGAAGAGUGGAUAGACAAGAAAUACCUAGAAAAUAAAACUGAGUGCCUCAGAGUUUCAGUGUGAGAACAGAGGAGUCUUUGCUGCUCUCGACCAAUGUCCCAUAUGGAAUAGACCAUGAAAUUUAUCUAUAUUAUCUUAGGUAAGUUCUACUAUGAGAUGAGGGCUGUCUCUGCCUGACAGAGAAAACCAACCAAAGCUCAGUGAGGUAGCUAACUAGCCCCAUAUACACGUAACACACAUACAUGUGACACCUAAACCCAUGCUUUGGCCCCAGUGUUUCUCAACCCUAGGAUAGUUUGACACCCUCCUUCCCAGGGGAUAUUUGGCAAUAUCUGGAGACACUUUCUAGUUGUCACAACUGGCGGGUCCCUACUGGCAUGCAGUGGACAGAAGCUAAACAUCUGUUAACAAGCAGGACAGGACAGUCUCCCCACAACAAAGAAUGAUCCAGACCAAAAUAUCAACAGUACUAGGGUUGAGAACCCCUGCCUUAGUUAUUGGUUUCUAGUUUGGAUGAUCUGGUGAAUGGUGGCAGUACGACCAACUGACAAAGAAUUUCAGAUUUGGGAAUGGAAUCCUGGAUUGAAUGCACGGAGCUUGAAGGGCUCGGAGAAUGUUCAGAUUCGGUGGUCCGGCAAGCAGGUGACCGCAUGGCCCUGACCUCAGAGGAAACAGAUCUGAGAGUCAUCUGUGUACAGGUGGUAUUGACUCCAUGUGACCACCCAUGAAGAAUAACGAAUGCCUAAGCGGGACUGGGAAGGGACCACGGCUGAACCAGGAGAAGCAGCACUUGGAAGGAAGUAUAAAGAACAAGGUCCCCUGAUGGAGACAGAGAGGAAGGGGUCAGCAGGAACACAGAGAGCCUGGCCCACUCUGUGUCAUAAAAGUCAAAGGUGUGAAGUUUCAAAGUGAGGGGAGUCAGCAACAUCAGAUAUAUCAGGAAAAUAAGGCUUAAUGAAGUAUUCUUUGCAUGUGAUCAUUGAAAAUUCACUGGUGUCCUUUGCCUGUGGAAUUUCAAUAAUGUGGCCAAAGCUGUGACUUUAAAGAGACACUAGCCAGGACUAAAGGACAAAAGUGAAUAUAGAAGUCCCAGAGGGGGGUCCAAAGGAGGAAUUUUUUUCUUUGAAUAGGAGAAACUUGAGGAAGGAUUCCGUUGAGAGGAAAGAGCUGAAAAGGCAAGCAAGUGAAAGGGAAGACCCCCUGCAAGGAUGGACUGAAGGUGUGGAAUUGACCGGUCUUUCCAUCCAGGACUCACUGGUGGCCAUCACACUGUGAUACUAGUUCCAUAUAACGCCAUCUCCCACAGAGAAAACAGAAUUAUUAACCAUGCUGAUUUUUUACAGAUACUAAGGUGCGAUGACAAAGGAACCAAGAUCGAGGCCAGAAUUCUUGCCAUUCUUGCCAUUCACUGCCAUGGCCAGUGGCCAUGAACUGAGGCUCAAGAAGUUUGCUCAAGUCAUGGCAGGGCAGACAACAUUGAUGCCCUUUCAGGCACCAGUCAGGCCUUUCCCUGGAUGGGAGAUCUCCUGACUCAGCAGCAACAGGCUCUGAGACUAGCCGAAUCCACCACCAGCACUACAGACAACUGUUUCUGCCCCAAUCUAGUCGGUAAUGAGUCACCCAGAAAGCCAUAAGUGCUUUGCUCUUGAAAGAACCUAGGUCUGGAGUAGGUGACCCAAUUUCCUUGGAAAGAAGAAAUCAUGUCUAUGAGUUCUGGGAGUACUUAUUGGGCACCUACUCUGUGCCAGGCAGAAUUCUAGGAGACCCGCAGGAGAGCCCUAUUCCUCCCAAACCUUCUGGACUAGCUGCGACCAAACAAUGGGCUUCCGCCUCUAGAAUUCAUCAUCCUAGAAUCCAUCAGAUACUUACUGACAGGCUGAGAGAAUAGAAACGAAUUGGACUGCCACGUGAGGUGACAUAAACAAUGUAGAGUACCAGCCCAGUGCCUGACAUGCACCAGGCCACCUAGAUGCUCAGCAGUUUCUUUUUCCUGCCCUACUAUGUGUCAUUCAUUGGCCGUGCAAGUCCCCAUGAGGAAACACAAAAAAAGCAGCAUCUGCAAGAUUCUGGAAAGUAAAAGCUCUGUGGACCUCCCAGCCCAGAGUUCCGGGGAUUUCCUUCAGCGUGUCCCAAAUCUCUAACCUUACACCCUAAUGGUCAUGGGUUCCUUACUGGCUCUUCCUAAGAGAACUAAGGACAGUAGUAUUUGCAGAAGGCUAAAAGGAGGGAGGGAACUCACCAUGGUUUCUUGGGUUUCUGGCUCCAUAGGUCAGAGAUCUCAGUUGCAUUGCCGGUCCCAACAGCAGUCUAAUUUAUGCACGCCUUUGUCACUGAAUUCCCAUAGACACCAUUUACAGUUGUCUCUCUAAUAUAUAUCAUAUAUUAUA